RNAcentral lists this ribosomal RNA (506 nucleotides) under uncultured bacterium. RNAcentral describes it as "partial 16S ribosomal RNA". It matches the Rfam family "Bacterial small subunit ribosomal RNA", at positions 29 to 523 of the family's 1533-position model. The record is from RNAcentral.
AGUGAACGCUGGCGGUAGGCCUAACACAUGCAAGUCGAACGGCAGCACAGGAGAGCUUGCUCUCUGGGUGGCGAGUGGCGGACGGGUGAGGAAUACAUCGGAAUCUACUCUGUCGUGGGGGAUAACGUAGGGAAACUUACGCUAAUACCGCAUACGACCUACGGGUGAAAGCAGGGGAUCUUCGGACCUUGCGCGAUUGAAUGAGCCGAUGUCGGGUUAGCUAGUUGGCGGGGUAAAGGCCCACCACGGCGACGAUCCGUAGCUGGUCUGAGAGGAUGAUCAGCCACACUGGAACGGAGACACGAUCCAGACUCCUACGGGAGGCAGCAGUGGGGAAUAUUGGACAAUGGGCGCAAGCCUGAUCCAGCCAUACCGCGUGGGUGAAGAAGGCCUUCGGGUUGUAAAGCCCUUUUGUUGGGAAAGAAAUCCAGCGGGCUAAUACCCGGUUGGGAUGACGGUACCCAAAGAAUAAGCACCGGCUAACUUCGUGCCAGCAGCCGCCGUAA